UUGUUGGGUAGGGGAGCGUUCUGUAAGCCGUUGAAGGUGUCCUGUGAGGGGUGCUGGAGGUAUCAGAAGUGCGAAUGCUGACAUAAGUAACGAUAAAGCGGGUGAAAAGCCCGCUCGCCGGAAGACCAAGGGUUCCUGUCCAACGUUAAUCGGGGCAGGGUGAGUCGACCCCUAAGGCGAGGCCGAAAGGCGUAGUCGAUGGGAAACGGGUUAAUAUUCCCGUACUUGGUGUUACUGCGAAGGGGGGACGGAGAAGGCUAUGUUGGCCGGGCGACGGUAGUCCCGGUUUAAGCGUGUAGGUGUGUGUUCCAGGUAAAUCCGGUUCACUUUAACACUGAGGCGUGAUGACGAGGCACCACGGUGCUGAAGCAACAAAUGCCCUGCUUCCAGGAAAAGCCUCUAAGCAUCAGGUAACAUCAAAUCGUACCCCAAACCGACACAGGUGGUCAGGUAGAGAAUACCAAGGCGCUUGAGAGAACUCGGGUGAAGGAACUAGGCAAAAUGGUGCCGUAACUUCGGGAGAAGGCACGCUGACAC
RNAcentral lists this ribosomal RNA (537 nucleotides) under Salmonella enterica. RNAcentral describes it as "partial 23S ribosomal RNA". It matches the Rfam family "Bacterial large subunit ribosomal RNA", at positions 1221 to 1757 of the family's 2925-position model. Lineage: Bacteria; Pseudomonadati; Pseudomonadota; Gammaproteobacteria; Enterobacterales; Enterobacteriaceae. The record is from RNAcentral.